GUAGUUUUUAGUACGUAUGCGCCAGGGAUGGCGAAUCGUGCAUGCUAUUAGAAAGAACCAGCGAUAUCUCUUUAAGAUUUUCUACC
Non-coding RNA from Glossina fuscipes fuscipes, 86 nucleotides. The record is from Rfam. NCBI's taxonomy places the organism in Eukaryota, Metazoa, Arthropoda, Insecta, Diptera, Glossinidae.